RNAcentral lists this ribosomal RNA (1074 nucleotides) under Citrobacter sp. RNAcentral describes it as "bacterial SSU rRNA". It matches the Rfam family "Bacterial small subunit ribosomal RNA", at positions 39 to 1087 of the family's 1533-position model. The record is from RNAcentral. Lineage: Bacteria; Pseudomonadati; Pseudomonadota; Gammaproteobacteria; Enterobacterales; Enterobacteriaceae.
GCCAUAAGGGAAGACUACCAUGCAAGUCGAACGGUAGCACAGAGAGCUUGCUCUCGGGUGACGAGUGGCGGACGGGUGAGUAAUGUCUGGGAAACUGCCCGAUGGAGGGGGAUAACUACUGGAAACGGUAGCUAAUACCGCAUAAUGUCGCAAGACCAAAGAGGGGGACCUUCGGGCCUCUUGCCAUCGGAUGUGCCCAGAUGGGAUUAGCUAGUAGGUGGGGUAACGGCUCACCUAGGCGACGAUCCCUAGCUGGUCUGAGAGGAUGACCAGCCACACUGGAACUGAGACACGGUCCAGACUCCUACGGGAGGCAGCAGUGGGGAAUAUUGCACAAUGGGCGCAAGCCUGAUGCAGCCAUGCCGCGUGUAUGAAGAAGGCCUUCGGGUUGUAAAGUACUUUCAGCGAGGAGGAAGGCGUUGUGGUUAAUAACCACAGCGAUUGACGUUACUCGCAGAAGAAGCACCGGCUAACUCCGUGCGAGCGGCCGCGGUAAUACGGAGGGUGCAAGCGUUAAUCGGAAUUACUGGGCGUAAAGCGCACGCAGGCGGUCUGUCAAGUCGGAUGUGAAAUCCCCGGGCUCAACCUGGGAACUGCAUCCGAAACUGGCAGGCUAGAGUCUUGUAGAGGGGGGUAGAAUUCCAGGUGUAGCGGUGAAAUGCGUAGAGAUCUGGAGGAAUACCGGUGGCGAAGGCGGCCCCCUGGACAAAGACUGACGCUCAGGUGCGAAAGCGUGGGGAGCAAACAGGAUUAGAUACCCUGGUAGUCCACGCCGUAAACGAUGUCGACUUGGAGGUUGUGCCCUUGAGGCGUGGCUUCCGGAGCUAACGCGUUAAGUCGACCGCCUGGGGAGUACGGCCGCAAGGGUUAAAACUCAAAUGAAUUGACGGGGGCCCGCACAAGCGGGUGGGAGCAUGUGGUUUAAUUUCGAUGCAACGCGAAGAGCCUUUACCCUACUCUUUGACAUCCAGAAGAACUUAGCAGAAGAUGCUUUGGUGCCUUCCGGAACUCUGGAGACAGGUGCUGCAAUGGCUGAUCGUCCAGCUCGUGUUGUGAAUGGUAUUGGUUAAGUUC